GACCGUGUAGCUCAGUUGGCAGAGCAUUGGGCUAGUAUUCCAAAGGUCGUAGGUUCGAUUCCCACCGUCGCCG
RNAcentral lists this transfer RNA (73 nucleotides) under Paramuricea clavata. It matches the Rfam family "tRNA". Rfam says of the family: Transfer RNA (tRNA) molecules are approximately 80 nucleotides in length. Their secondary structure includes four short double-helical elements and three loops (D, anti-codon, and T loops). Lineage: Eukaryota; Metazoa; Cnidaria; Anthozoa; Malacalcyonacea; Plexauridae. The record is from Rfam by way of RNAcentral.